AUGCUCUCCCUCCCCUCCCUCUUUACGUCCCCUUUACAUUCUCUCCUCCCUCUUUACAUUCUCUCCUCCCUCUUUACGUCCCCUUUACAUUCUCUCCUCCCUCUUUACAUUCUCUCCUCCCUCUUUACGUCCCCUUUACAUUCUCUCCUCCCUCUUUACGUCCCCGUUACAUUCUCUCCUCCCUCUUUACGUCCCCGUUACAUUCUCUCCUCCCUCUUUACAUUCUCUCCUCCCUCUUUACGUCCCCUUUACAUUCUCUCCUCCCUCUUUACGUCCCCUUUACAUUCUCUCCUCCCUCUUUACGUCCCCUUUACAUUCUCUCCUCCCUCUUUACGUCCCAGUUACAUUCUCUCCUCCCUCUUUACAUCCCCUUUACAUUCUCUCCUCCCUCUUUACGUCCCUCUUACAUUCUCUCCUCCCUCUUUACGUCCCCUUUACAUUCUCUCCUCCCUCUUUACGUCCCCGUUACAUUCUCUCCUCCCUCUUUACGUCCCCUUUACAUUCUCUCCUCCCUCUUUACAUUAUCUCCUCCCUCUUUACGUCCCCUUUACAUUAUCUCCUCCCUCUUUACGUCCCCUUUACAUUCUCUCCUCCCUCUUUACGUCCCCUUUACAUUCUCUCCUCCCUCUUUACAUUCUCUCCUCCCUCUUUACGUCCCCUUUACAUUCUCUCCUCCCUCUUUACGUCCCAGUUACAUUCUCUCCUCCCUCUUUACAUCCCCUUUACAUUCUCUCCUCCCUCUUUACGUCCCAGUUACAUUCUCUCCUCCCUCUUUACAUCCCCUUUACAUUCUCUCCUCCCUCUUUACGUCCCCUUUACAUUCUCUCCUCCCUCUUUACGUCCCCUUUACAUUCUCUCCUCCCUCUUUACGUCCCCUUUACAUUCUCUCCUCCCUCUUUACAUCCCCUUUACAUUCUCUCCUCCCUCUUUACGUCCCAGUUACAUUCUCUCCUCCCUCUUUACAUCCCCUUUACAUUCUCUCCUCCCUCUUUACGUCCCAGUUACAUUCUCUCCUCCCUCUUUACAUCCCCUUUACAUUCUCUCCUCCCUCUUUACGUCCCCUUUACAUUCUCUCCUCCCUCUUUACGUCCCCUUUACAUGCUCUUCUACUUUACGUCCUUUAACGUCCCCCUUUACAUUCUCUCUUCCCGCUUUACGUUUGUAUUUAGGCUUAUGUUGAACUUUAUUCUUGUACAAACAGACACUGUAUCAAGCAGUGCAUGUAUUGAAUGA
RNAcentral lists this long non-coding RNA (1233 nucleotides) under Carassius auratus (goldfish). RNAcentral's name for it is "lncRNA (ENSCARG00000004590.1)". Lineage: Eukaryota; Metazoa; Chordata; Actinopteri; Cypriniformes; Cyprinidae. The record is from RNAcentral.